AUCCAACUGAUGAUUUCCAAAUAGGAUGAAAUACGAGUCCUGGAU
RNAcentral lists this non-coding RNA (45 nucleotides) under Schistosoma bovis. Lineage: Eukaryota; Metazoa; Platyhelminthes; Trematoda; Strigeidida; Schistosomatidae. RNAcentral also lists the same sequence under 1 other name. The record is from RNAcentral.